ACCCAAAGUCACUUUAGCCAACCUGCAAAGGGGGCGAAUGCCUAAGGUAUGGGGGAUGAUUGGGGUGAAGUCGUAACAAGGUAGCUGUAGGUGAACCUGCAGAAGGAUA
RNAcentral lists this unclassified non-coding RNA (109 nucleotides) under uncultured eukaryote. RNAcentral's name for it is "partial contains small subunit ribosomal RNA and internal transcribed spacer 1". It matches the Rfam family "Bacterial small subunit ribosomal RNA", at positions 1419 to 1523 of the family's 1533-position model. The record is from RNAcentral.